AAAAUACAGUCGUUCAGAUGAAAUGUAUGCUUUCCCAACAAGCUUUGGCUUUAAAGGAGAGGCUCUGAGCUCUAUUUUUGACGUUUCUUUGUUGGAAAUUGUUACCAAAACUCACGGGAGGCCAAAUGGAUAUCUUAAGGUUUUGAAGGACGGCAAGUGGGUUUACCUUGGAAUUUGAUGAUUGUAGACAAGAUGUUGGUACAACAGUCAUUGUUUGUGAUGUAUUUUACAAUCAACCAGUUCGAAGGAAGCAAAUGCACUCCAAUCCAAAGAGAGUUUUCAUUCUCCAGAAGAGUCUCUGCUAAGAAUCGCCCUUGCGCAUCCCAAUGUCUCCUUGAAAAUUGUUUACAUCGAAAGGUCUCCUUUUAUAACUUAAGGAUAUUUCCUGUCUGGUUUCUUAGAUUUUGUUCAUUUGCAUGCUGUGAGGAUGACCUGCUUUGCACACAUGCUUCUCCUUCUCCUUGCCUUUGUUGUCCAGUGGAUUUGGGAUUCAUUUGAGUUCCCUUAACUAAUUGAAUGCAAGCGUUGGUUCAUUCAAGCUUUAAGGAUACAUCUCAGGUCUUGAUGUUUACACAGUGAAGGUAUACUUGUCCAAAUUGAUGGAUAAAGAGAUGGGAUAAGUCUAAAAUACUCUCUCCCAUUGAUUAUGGGAGAACAAUGAAACAACGUUUCUAGCUUCUUUUGGUGGCAAAACCAAACAGACCACUGUUAGCAAGGACAUGUCAUACAUAUUUGUUUUACUGAUUGUAGUGUUGUAUUCCUCAUUACAAUGUGUUUGCUGCUUCUAAGACUGACAACUCUUCAUGUUUGAACUUUGACUCCUGG
Long non-coding RNA from Solanum dulcamara, 825 nucleotides. RefSeq lists it as uncharacterized. The record is from RefSeq and is a predicted model, not a curated record. NCBI's taxonomy places the organism in Eukaryota, Viridiplantae, Streptophyta, Magnoliopsida, Solanales, Solanaceae. The transcript is spliced from 4 exons.